AAAUGUAGAUAUCUUCUCAGACGAUGCAUAUACCGUGGGAUGAAGCUGGGUGUUUAUGCCUUGUGGGUGACUUGUUUAAUUAUGAUGCACCUGGAAUGGAGCCAUCUGGCAUUGAGGAUUUAGAGCAUUUUCUAUCUAACUCUUCCAUCCAUGAUACUAGCUUAUUAAAUGGAGAUAAUAAUAUAAUGGUAGAUGCAGACCACCUUGAUUCUCACUCAGAGAUUAACAGAUGGUUGGUUUGAGGAAGAUGUUAAUGCAUAUUGCUUUUAUUCUAGGGCACAUUACAAGAAAGGAGAUCAGGUAUUACAUUAUUUCUAGAAAUUUAAAAUGGCAUGUAUAUUACAUGCCUUCAAUGCCUUCAUUUUAUCAUUUGGUCACAUUUGAACUUUAAAAAAUGUAGAUAUCUUCUCAGACGAUGCAUAUACCGUGGGAUGAAGCUGGGUGUUUAUGCCUUGUGGGUGACUUGUUUAAUUAUGAUGCACCUGGAAUGGAGCCAUCUGGCAUUGAGGAUUUAGAGCAUUUUCUAUCUAACUCUUCCAUCCAUGAUACUAGCUUAUUAAAUGGAGAUAAUAAUAUAAUGGUAGAUGCAGACCACCUUGAUUCUCACUCAGAGAUUAACAGAUGGUUGGUUUGAGGAAGAUGUUAAUGCAUAUUGCUUUUAUUCUAGGGCACAUUACAAGAAAGGAGAUCAGGU
Molecule: long non-coding RNA, 694 nt
Filed under: Glycine max (soybean)
Lineage: Eukaryota; Viridiplantae; Streptophyta; Magnoliopsida; Fabales; Fabaceae
Description: long non-coding RNA (GMAX_LNC000459)
Source: RNAcentral